Molecule: ribosomal RNA, 394 nt
Filed under: uncultured bacterium
Lineage: Bacteria
Description: partial 16S ribosomal RNA
Rfam family: Bacterial small subunit ribosomal RNA
Source: RNAcentral
AUACGUAGGGAGCGAGCGUUGUCCGGAAUUACUGGGCGUAAAGGGCGCGUAGGCGGCGCUUCAAGUCGUCUGUCAAAUGGGAGGGCUUGACCCUUUUUCGCAGACGAAACUGGAGAGCUUGAGAAGCAGAGAGGCAAACAGAAUUCCUGGUGUAGCGGUGAAAUGCGUAGAUAUCAGGAAGAAUACCAGUGGCGAAGGCGGUUUGCUGGCUGCAUACUGACGCUGAAGCGCGAAAGCCAGGGGAGCAAACGGGAUUAGAUACCCCGGUAGUCCUGGCAGUAAACGAUGUAUGCUGGGUGUGAGACUAGCGAUAGUUUCGUGCCGAAGUUAACGCGAUAAGCAUACCGCCUGGGGAGUACGGUCGCAAGAUUGAAACUCAAAGGAAUUGACGGGG